CCUGGAAUCGUCUAGUGGUUAGGACACCAGGUUCUGAUUGUGCCGUCCAUCCGAACACAGCAUUUCCUGGUAACCUGGGUUCAAACCCCAGUUCCAGGU
Molecule: transfer RNA, 99 nt
Filed under: Puccinia triticina
Lineage: Eukaryota; Fungi; Basidiomycota; Pucciniomycetes; Pucciniales; Pucciniaceae
Also listed under: 1 other name
Description: tRNA-Gln
Rfam family: tRNA
About the family: Transfer RNA (tRNA) molecules are approximately 80 nucleotides in length. Their secondary structure includes four short double-helical elements and three loops (D, anti-codon, and T loops). Further hydrogen bonds mediate the characteristic L-shaped molecular structure. tRNAs have two regions of fundamental functional importance: the anti-codon, which is responsible for specific mRNA codon recognition, and the 3' end, to which the tRNAs corresponding amino acid is attached (by aminoacyl-tRNA synthetases). tRNAs cope with the degeneracy of the genetic code in two manners: having more than one tRNA (with a specific anti-codon) for a particular amino acid; and 'wobble' base-pairing, i.e. permitting non-standard base-pairing at the 3rd anti-codon position.
Source: RNAcentral